RNAcentral lists this microRNA precursor (107 nucleotides) under Chlorocebus sabaeus (green monkey). RNAcentral describes it as "miRNA (ENSCSAG00000020004.1)". The record is from RNAcentral. Lineage: Eukaryota; Metazoa; Chordata; Mammalia; Primates; Cercopithecidae.
UAUUGCUAUAGAUUGGUGCAAAAGUAAUUGCGAAUUUUGCCAUACUUCGAAUGGCAAAACACAAUUACUUUUGCACCAACCUAAUAGUAAUAUAUUUUACUACAAUU